Molecule: non-coding RNA, 30 nt
Filed under: Rattus norvegicus (Norway rat)
Lineage: Eukaryota; Metazoa; Chordata; Mammalia; Rodentia; Muridae
Source: RNAcentral
UUGUAUUUCAGUUUGUACUAGAAAUAUUGC